AAUUGGUGCUGGAUAACUAAACAUGGUAUGUGAGAAGCCUCCUCAGAUAAGGCAGUGCUGAGUGCUGGAGAACACAGCAGGAGGCUGCACUGAGUUCAUCUGAUCUGAGGCUGUGGAGAUCACAUCCAACAGCAGCAGUGCCUGGAGAGGACUCUGCUUACAGCCCUCUCCAGCUGCUUCUUAUUUUCUCUCUCAAGUUGAGCAGCUGAGCUGUUGGCAGAACUGCCAACCAGCACAGGUCCUGCUCCUCAGCCUGUUGCUGAAGUUGUUCAAGCCAGCAUGCAGGAGGCUGCAGGGCUCAUCUGAGCAGCUUGGCUAGUGACUCUGAAAAUGAGGCAACAAGCAGCUGGGGAUGGCAACCCAUGCUCUGUACAGCUGCUGUGACAGAAGCAUGGAGCAGGAAGAAUGUGAGAGCAGGGCUACUAAGGAUCAAGGAAAGUAACAAACAGAAGGACUUUUCCCCUCUUCAUUUCAGCUUCUGGGAAAGGAAGUAACUAGAGAAACAGUGAAAUCUUAAGUUGGACUCUGACAGGCCAGCAUUCUAAUGCACUAAAAUCUACUCUAAAGAGUUAAACUGGAAGUGAAAUGUCUAAAGCACCUUCAGAAGACCCACCUGUGUUAAAGGCUGGUAGGUAUUUCUUGGUGUCCAGUUUCCAGAUGGGUUGGUCUAUUUCACCACACAGCAGUACCUUAACAGGGACAAUGGCUGUUCCUCUGCCUUCUCUCUCUGCAAAACUUCCUUCAAGAGCAGUUGAGAGUGUUGCAGAACUCCCUUAAUCAGAGUUAGCAACACUUGAAUCAAAACUGGGUCCCCCUUAGUGAGGGCUUCUGUAAGAAUUUUCCCAUACACAAAUUUUUUAUUUAAACUCGUGUAAAUAGCCAGCUUUUCCAUUGCCUCCUAAAAUAUGAUUUCCUUUGACCUUCUAAACCAAAGUGACUUGACAUUAACUCUCUGCUUCCUCAGCAGGCUGUCCCUGAUCUGUAGUUUCUGACACUUAAAACCUCAGAUGAAUUCUUGAUUCCAAGAUGUGUAGCCUUCCUUCUCAAAAGGCUUAAAUUAGGUCAUGUGAAGAGGAGGAAAGAGGCAUGCAGGCAAUCUGCUUUCACUGGAGAGUAAAGUGUAUGAUCUUCCCUGCUUUCUUGAUAAAUAAGAAAAGAUGGAUAUAAUUAGCUGUCCCAAGGACCAAAUAAGCUUCUGCCUUGCUACAGAGCAGCUGAAGGUUAUGUACAUACAGACCAACCCAUAUAAAUAGUCCUCUGUAGAAUUACUAAGUAUAAUGCUCUACACUCUCAGUCUCUAAUGGAAGACUACUGCUCCUAGUUAGUUACAAUCCUUUCAAUACAGGAUAAAUUUAAUAAUAUUAUUUUGUGCACUGCUAUCCCAAAUGCUGACUGAAAAUAAAAAAAAAUAUAUUUUCCUUCUUCCUUUUACCUAAGCCUGCCAUUCUUGCAGAAGAAUGUUGCCUGAAAUUCUAGUCAUGAACAUAAUCAACUCAAAGGCUCACUCAUGACUGAACUAAUCUGAUAGUGUUUCCCUUAAGUCUCUUCUCUACAUAACAUUUCUGUCACAAUGAGAACUCUGUUCAGGAGAAAUAUGACAAUGGAAUCUCAAGUUCAUAAUCACAACUGAAAAUCCUGGCUGUCAGCUAGCAUUUAGUGAUGUGCAGUUGAGAUCUGGUUCCUAAGAGAACCUUGGAUGCUGUCAGGUGUCUUCUGGACAGAGCUCCCAACAGUCCUACAGUGUCUGCUUGGGCAUGGGCCCAAUGGCUCUGGAGACCUCCCAGUAAUGCCCAAUGUGCCUCAUGACUCAGUCAUAAGAAACAUGACUCUGUGUUUAGCAUGCCAGAACUAGAGAUCAUUGCAUAGAGCAGAACUUCUGUCACUGCUGGGAAUAAUUCUGGUAUGGUAAAGGUACCUUGACUACCAUUCAACUACCAACUACAACCUGCCUAAAGCUUCUGUGUGAAACUCUGGUCUCUGAAAUAAAGAUCUCUCAAUGCUGCCAGGGUGGGAACUUGCUCCAGUCAGACUAACUGGGAAUGUGGACAACUCUUGCUUGUAGAGUAUUUUAAGUUCUGUAGAAAGUAAGAGGGUUCAACAAACCAGAAAUAUGGAUGAGGGAGAAUAAAUUCAUGUUUUCUAGGGUGUUUUAAAAUUGUGUUAGAGCAAGCUACAUGCAAGUUCUGCUUUGGGUCUCUACAGAGUACAUGUCCCAGCUUCUGGGAAGUCCUGUUCCAUCUUUUGGCUGGCCAGUGUCUCCUUUUAACCCAUGAAACUGAUGGUUUGUCUUUCCAUUCCAUUCCAUUCCAUUCCAUUCCAUUCCAUUCCAUUCCAUUCCAUUCCAUUCCAUUUCAAGGAGUGUAACAGAGUGAGAUUUGAGGAAGUGCACAGAGGAAACCUCAAAACAAAGGGGAAUCUUUAAGCUAAUUAAAGCUGCUCCCUUGUUAGUUUUGUAAAUAAGCAUUUCAAAUGAAUAACCUGCCAAACACCUGCUGCCUAACAAUGAAACUGGAAACUUAUUUCAAUGUUACUUCCAAUUACAUUGCUCAACUUUGGAAUGCUGCAUCAAACUAGUUCAAAAUUCCAGUGACUGUUUUAGGAAUUGAUGGACAAGACUGUCAUUAACUUCAGCUCCUGUGUGUACAGCAGACCAGGAUGAAGUUGGAGGUUUCCUG
Long non-coding RNA from Passer domesticus (house sparrow), 2675 nucleotides. RefSeq lists it as uncharacterized. The transcript has 3 exons. The record is from RefSeq and is a predicted model, not a curated record. Lineage: Eukaryota; Metazoa; Chordata; Aves; Passeriformes; Passeridae.